Molecule: long non-coding RNA, 1381 nt
Organism: Triticum urartu
Lineage: Eukaryota; Viridiplantae; Streptophyta; Magnoliopsida; Poales; Poaceae
Source: RefSeq, a predicted model, not a curated record
ACACCCCUCUCUCUCGCCUCAGCAACGGAGGCACGCAACACGGACGCACUGCACCGAUCCCAAGAUGCACUAGGGCUGGCCCGCCACUGAUGGCGAUGGCUAUCAAAUGGCAACUACGGCGACGUUGACGCGCUUUAUCCCCCACCGCUGCCGCCUCCUGAGCGGCCGAGAUCCCGAGCGUGGUGAGCUCCCUUCCCUUCCCCACUUCCUCGCUACCAUGCCCAUCCCUACCCCCGUUCCGUUCCCAAGGCAACGGCCCCACGGUCCCUCUAACCUAGGAUUGUCGACCUGAUCUGUCGGCGUGCACAUGACGAUGGUGGUGCCGGUCUCAAUCGCCCUGAUUUGGUUUGACUGAGAAUCAUCGAUGUGUGGGCGACAAGCAGAUUUCCUUGGAUGUCUCCAUGCCACGCUACCGUGCUCGAUUUCAUUCACAGGCUUCAGGAAAUAUUUGUGGUCAAGCAAGCGGGAUGCUCUUCCUCCAUGCAUGCACAUGUUCUGCAUUAUGGGUUCUUUGGUCUCCUGCUAAGUACAUUUGGUGCUCUUUGACGCUCAUGUGUUCCUUUGGCUAGCUUUCAGAUGAAGACUGAAUGCACGUGCAAGUACGAUCAGGAAGCAAUCGAGGAAUAUACGAGACUAUUUCUGCAAUUGUUGUCCCUAGCUCCCUAACUCCGUUGAGUCGAUAACCAUAUUAUCCUGUGAUGUAAGCUGGCUUAUGAUCUUUGGACAGAUUUGGGUCUCCUUAACUCUGAUUUCCUGGUAUCCAUUCUUUAUGACCCUCAUUGCCACAACAAAUGAAUUUUUGUUCAUAUUUGUCAUCCAGAUGGGUUAAGGAAGACAAGGUAGUGCACUUCCAGAUGUUUGUCCUCCUCUCCAAGACGAUGUCAGUUUGGUUAUGCAUGCGGAAUGUUUUCUUGAUGUCAUGCAUAUUACAAAGGCUUCUAUGGAUCUUGAAGCUUUUGCUUGUAUCAUCUAUUAGAUAUUUUUUCUGAACUCUCUAUGUUAUCCCUCUUUGCACUGACCUAUAAUUUUUGUUUGAGCAGGGACAGUGCAGCGAACACGAGCAAAUAAAUUGGUAGAAGGUGCAGACGACUAUCUGAACCAAGGCUUGUGUAAUAUGUAAAGUGAGUGACAGAUGCAGUAUCUAGCUCUUUGAUAAGUAUUGGGAUGUAGGUAGGACACAUCUAAUCUGAAUUGAAAUAUGGAUGGCGUGAAUAGUCUGUAUGUUCGAUUUUCGAUCGAAUGUUGAAUUAUUAUCAACUAGAUCUACCUCCACCGACAUUACUAGCUCCUCCUUGAAUACCAACUAUCGGAAAGAGAGCAAUGAUACUGUGAUUGUACUGUUUUAUGCCAGGUGUUAAAGAAUACUAUUUGCAAUCAGUUA